Fundulus heteroclitus (mummichog) is the source of this 286-nucleotide long non-coding RNA. RefSeq lists it as uncharacterized. The record is from RefSeq and is a predicted model, not a curated record. NCBI's taxonomy places the organism in Eukaryota, Metazoa, Chordata, Actinopteri, Cyprinodontiformes, Fundulidae. The transcript has 3 exons.
ACUGGUGCUGGAGGAGGUUCUAAGGGUGCUGGAGGAGGUUCUAUUGGUGCUGGAGGAGGUUCUAUUGGUGCUGGAGGAGGUUCUACUGCUGCUGGAGGUUCUUUUGGUACUGGAGGAGGUUCUACUGGUACUGGAGGAGGUUCUACUGGUGCUGGAGGUUCUUUUGGUACUGGAGGAGGUUCUACUGGUGCUGGAGGAGGUUCUACUGGUGCUGGAGGUUCUAUUGGUACUGGAGGAGGUUCUACUGUUGCUGGAGGAAGUUCUACUGGUGCUGGAGGAGGUUCUA